GAUGAACGCUGGCGGCGUGCCUAAUACAUGCAAGUCGAGCGACCAGACGAGGAGCUUGCUCCUCUGACGUUAGCGGCGGACGGGUGAGUAACACGUGGAUAACCUACCUAUAAGACUGGGAUAACUUCGGGAAACCGGAGCUAAUACCGGAUAAUAUAUUGAACCGCAUGGUUCAAUAGUGAAAGACGGUUUUGCUGUCACUUAUAGAUGGAUCCGCGCCGCAUUAGCUAGUUGGUAAGGUAACGGCUUACCAAGGCGACGAUGCGUAGCCGACCUGAGAGGAUGAUCGGCCACACUGGAACUGAGACACGGUCCAGACUCCUACGGGAGGCAGCAGUAGGGAAUCUUCCGCAAUGGGCGAAAGCCUGACGGAGCAACGCCGCGUGAGUGAUGAAGGUCUUCGGAUCGUAAAACUCUGUUAUUAGGGAAGAACAAAUGUGUAAGUAACUAUGCACGUCUUGACGGUACCUAAUCAGAAAGCCACGGCUAACUACGUG
Molecule: ribosomal RNA, 497 nt
Filed under: uncultured bacterium
Lineage: Bacteria
Description: partial 16S ribosomal RNA
Rfam family: Bacterial small subunit ribosomal RNA
Source: RNAcentral